AUUGAACGCUGGCGGCAGGCCUAACACAUGCAAGUCGAGCGGAUGAAGGGAGCUUGCUCCUGGAUUCAGCGGCGGACGGGUGAGUAAUGCCUAGGAAUCUGCCUGGUAGUGGGGGAUAACGUCCGGAAACGGGCGCUAAUACCGCAUACGUCCUGAGGGAGAAAGUGGGGGAUCUUCGGACCUCACGCUAUCAGAUGAGCCUAGGUCGGAUUAGCUAGUUGGUGGGGUAAAGGCCUACCAAGGCGACGAUCCGUAACUGGUCUGAGAGGAUGAUCAGUCACACUGGAACAGAGACACGGUCCAGACUCCUACGGGAGGCAGCAGUGGGGAAUAUUGGACUAUGGGCGAAAGCCUGAUCCAGCCAUGCCGCGUGUGUGAGGAAGGUCUUCGGAUUGUAAAGCACUUUAAGUUGGGAGGAAGGGCAGUAAGUUAAUACCUUGCUGUUUUGACGUUACCAACAGAAUAAGCACCGGCUAACUUCGUG
This 484-nucleotide ribosomal RNA is filed under the name uncultured bacterium. Its description in RNAcentral is "partial 16S ribosomal RNA". It matches the Rfam family "Bacterial small subunit ribosomal RNA", at positions 30 to 507 of the family's 1533-position model. The record is from RNAcentral.